This 102-nucleotide small nuclear RNA is filed under the name Propithecus coquereli (Coquerel's sifaka). Lineage: Eukaryota; Metazoa; Chordata; Mammalia; Primates; Indriidae. The record is from RNAcentral.
GCUAUUCCUAAGAUUGUGCUGUUUUUUUGGAAUGAUACAGAGAAGAUUAGCAUGGCCCCUGUGAAGGAUGACCUGCAAAUUUGUCAAGUGUUCCAUAUUAAA